RNAcentral lists this ribosomal RNA (253 nucleotides) under uncultured bacterium. Its description in RNAcentral is "partial 16S ribosomal RNA". It matches the Rfam family "Bacterial small subunit ribosomal RNA", at positions 524 to 776 of the family's 1533-position model. The record is from RNAcentral.
UACGUAGGGGGCUAGCGUUGUCCGGAAUCAUUGGGCGUAAAGAGCGCGUAGGCGGCUAGAUAAGUCCGGUGUGAAAGUCACAGGCUCAACCUGUGAAUGCCGCUGGAAACUGUCUGGCUAGAGUCCGGAAGGGGCGAGUGGAAUUCCUGGUGUAGCGGUGAAAUGCGCAGAUAUCAGGAAGAACACCCGUGGCGAAGGCGGCUCUCUGGGACGGUACUGACGCUGAGACGCGAAAGCGUGGGGAGCAAACAGG